GACAGGAUGGCGGAAUGGUAAGCGCUAGGCCGAAAGCUGAUUUUAUAGGUUCGAAUCCUGCUCCUGUCA
RNAcentral lists this transfer RNA (69 nucleotides) under Sphingobacterium deserti. It matches the Rfam family "tRNA". From Rfam's summary of the family: Transfer RNA (tRNA) molecules are approximately 80 nucleotides in length. Their secondary structure includes four short double-helical elements and three loops (D, anti-codon, and T loops). Further hydrogen bonds mediate the characteristic L-shaped molecular structure. tRNAs have two regions of fundamental functional importance: the anti-codon, which is responsible for specific mRNA codon recognition, and the 3' end, to which the tRNAs corresponding amino acid is attached (by aminoacyl-tRNA synthetases). tRNAs cope with the degeneracy of the genetic code in two manners: having more than one tRNA (with a specific anti-codon) for a particular amino acid; and 'wobble' base-pairing, i.e. permitting non-standard base-pairing at the 3rd anti-codon position. The record is from Rfam by way of RNAcentral. Lineage: Bacteria; Pseudomonadati; Bacteroidota; Sphingobacteriia; Sphingobacteriales; Sphingobacteriaceae.